Molecule: ribosomal RNA, 253 nt
Filed under: uncultured bacterium
Lineage: Bacteria
Description: partial 16S ribosomal RNA
Rfam family: Bacterial small subunit ribosomal RNA
Source: RNAcentral
UACGUAGGGGGCAAGCGUUGUCCGGAAUCAUUGGGCGUAAAGCGCGUGUAGGCGGUCCGGUAAGUCCGCUGUGAAAGUCCAGGGCUCAACCCUGGGAUGCCGGUGGAUACUGUCGGGCUAGAGUACGGAAGAGGCGAGUGGAAUUCCCGGUGUAGCAGUGAAAUGCGCAGAUAUCGGGAGGAACACCAAUUGCGAAGGCAGCUCGCUGGGACGUCACUGACGCUGAGACGCGAAAGCGUGGGGAGCAAACAGG